AUAACCCAGUACCAGGCAGUGCUAUUAGACAACCCUGCAAUCCAGCUUCAAAAAACCACCUGUUUAAAUUAAGCCACUCAGUUACCAACCUUGCCUCAGACAGGACCCAUCCAUGACUGUGUGCAGACCCUUGACCUUGUCUAUGCCAGCAGCCAGACUUGCAGGAUCACCAUAUUAAUGAUCCUGAACUUGAGCUCUACACAGAUGGAGGCAGCUUUGUUGAAAAUGGACAGUGAAAGGCUGAUAUGCUGUGGUCACUCUGGAUGAAGUCCUAGAAGCACAAGCCCUCCCCAUCGGGACUUCAGCUCAAAAAGUGGAGCUCAUCACCAUGACCCAGGCCUUAAGACUGGCGAGAGAUACUUUCACCAACUGGAUUGAAGAUUUUCCAUGCUGAACCAAGAAGUUCACUGAGGUAGUCAAAAGACUCCUAGAAGAAAUCACGCCAAGGUUUGAGUUGCCCUGAUCCAUUGGAAGUGACAAUGGGCCUCAUUUUAUUGCAAAAAUUACUCAAGAUGUGGUGACUGCAUUGGACAUCAAUUGGAAUCUGCAUUCAGCCUGGAGACCCCAAUCCAGGGGAAUGGUCAAAAGAGCUAACCACCAGCUCAAGAGGCAUGCUCAUCUCUGCGACCCCGAUCUAGCACCUGAGGUCCCUCUGGACUCCAUCCAGCCCAGUGACUGCGUCAUGAUCAAAACGUGGAAGUCUGAUAUCCUACAGGAAAAGUGGACUGGACCCUUUGAAGUUCUCCUCACCAUCCCUACUGUGGUCAAAGUCAGUGGAAUGAGCACCUGAAUUCAUCAUACC
Long non-coding RNA from Trichechus manatus latirostris (Florida manatee), 802 nucleotides. RefSeq lists it as uncharacterized. The transcript is spliced from 3 exons. Lineage: Eukaryota; Metazoa; Chordata; Mammalia; Sirenia; Trichechidae. The record is from RefSeq and is a predicted model, not a curated record.